RNAcentral lists this ribosomal RNA (1304 nucleotides) under Acanthaster planci (crown-of-thorns starfish). RNAcentral describes it as "SSU rRNA". The stretch from base 221 to 1304 matches the Rfam family "Eukaryotic small subunit ribosomal RNA". The record is from RNAcentral. Lineage: Eukaryota; Metazoa; Echinodermata; Asteroidea; Valvatida; Acanthasteridae.
ACCGGGGACCUCCCAGACGGAGGGAGCUCAGCCCGGCCAGCUGCAGCCUCCCCGGCUCGCCCGGCCGCCCCCUACGAGAUAGAGGACGGCGCACCGGGACAGCAGGCGGCAUUCCAGCGGCCGCCUGGGCGCCCGGGGAAGUAGAGGAAUUGCCGCCCCGGCCGGGCCGGAGAGGGCGAGGGACCGGCGGCGGGCCGGAGGGAGCGGCGGCCGGGUGGCGAACGAGAGUAGAGGGGCGCAGGACUCUGGCGCCGCGGCCCAGCAGCUGCGGCGCGGACGAGCAGUCUGCCCGCCUGGCCUUCCUCUCAGUCUCCGCCCGGUUCUCUUGACUGAGUGCCGAGCGCGGCCAAAACGUUUACUUUGAAAAAAUUGGAGUGUUCAAAGCAGGCCGACCGCCUGGACAGCACAGCAUGGAAUAAUGGAAUAGGACCUCGGUUCUAUUGCGUUGGUUUUCGGAACUCGAGGUAAUGCUAAAGAAGGACUGACGGGGGCAUUCGUAUUGCGGUGUGAGAGGUGAAAUUCUUGGAUCGCCGAAAGACGACCGACUGCGAAAGCAUUUGCCAAGAAUGUUUUCAUUAAUCAAGAACGAAAGUUACAGGUUCGAAGGUGAUCAGAUACCGUCCUAGUUCUAACCAUAAACGAUGCCGACUGGCGAUCCGCCGGCGUUACUCCAAUGACGCGGCGGGCAGUCUGCGGGAAGCCAAAGAAAACUCACCCGGCCCGGACACAGUGAGGAUUGACAGAUUGAGAGCUCUUUCUUGAUUGUGUGAGUGGUGGUGCAUGGCCGUUCUUAGUUGGUGGAGCGAUUUGUCUGGUUAAUUUCGAUAACGAACGAGACUCUGGCUUGCUAAAUAGUCGCGCCGGACGCCGCGCCGGGCGCUGACUUCUUAGAGGGACAAGUGGCGUUUAGCCACGCGAGAUUGAGCAAUAACAGGUCUGUGAUGCCCUUAGAUGUUCGGGGCCGCACGCACACUACACUGAAGGGAUCAGCGGAUAGCCGCCCUUGGCCGGAAGGUCUGGGCAAUCCGUUGAACCUCAUUCGUGCUUGGGAUAGGGAGUUGCAAUUGUCUCCCUUGAACGAGGAAUUCCCAGUAAGCGCGAGUCAUCAGCUCGCGUUGAUUACGUCCCUGCCCUUUGUACACACCGCCCGUCGCUACUACCGAUUGAAUGGUUUAGUGAGAUCCUCGGACGGGCCGCAGCGGGGCGCCCCGGCGCCUCGCUCGUGCGCCCAGAAGACAAUCGAACUUGAUGAUUUAGAGGAAGUAAAAGCCGUAACAAGGUUUCCGUAGAUGAACCUGCGGAAG